CAGUAGCCGCGGGAAAACGUAGGGUGCGAGCGUUAACCGGAAUUACUGGGCGUAAAGCGUGCGCAGGCGGUUCGUUAAGACAGAUGUGAAAUCCCCGGGCUUAACCUGGGAACUGCAUUUGUGACUGGCGAGCUAGAGUAUGGCAGAGGGGGGUAGAAUUCCACGUGUAGCAGUGAAAUGCGUAGAGAUCUGGAGGAAUACCGAUGGCGAAGGCAGCCAUCUGGCCUAAUACUGACGCUGAGGUACGAAAGCAUGGGGAGCAAACAGGAUUAGAUACCCCAGUAGUCCCUGUCUCUUAUAC
This 301-nucleotide ribosomal RNA is filed under the name uncultured bacterium. RNAcentral describes it as "partial 16S ribosomal RNA". It matches the Rfam family "Bacterial small subunit ribosomal RNA", at positions 509 to 807 of the family's 1533-position model. The record is from RNAcentral.